This 433-nucleotide ribosomal RNA is filed under the name uncultured bacterium. RNAcentral describes it as "partial 16S ribosomal RNA". It matches the Rfam family "Bacterial small subunit ribosomal RNA", at positions 29 to 507 of the family's 1533-position model. The record is from RNAcentral.
AACGAACGCUGGCGGCAGGCCUAACACAUGCAAGUCGAGCGAGGACUUCGGUCCUAGCGGCGGACGGGUGAGUAACGCGUGGGAACGUGCCCUUUGCUUCGGAAUAGCCCUGGGAAACUGGGAGUAAUACCGGAUGAGCCCUUUGGGGGAAAGAUUUAUCGGCGAAGGAUCGGCCCGCGUUGGAUUAGGUAGUUGGUGGGGUAAUGGCCUACCAAGCCGACGAUCCAUAGCUGGUUUGAGAGGAUGAUCAGCCACACUGGGACUGAGACACGGCCCAGACUCCUACGGGAUGCAGCAGUGGGGAAUCUUAGAAAAUGGGGGAAACUCUGAUCUAGCCAUGGCGCGUGAGCGAUGAAGGCCUUAGGGUUGUAAAGCUCUUUCAGCUGGGAAGAUAAUGACGGUACCAGCAGAAGAAGCCCCGGCGAACUCCGUG